AGGGUUUGAUUAUGGCUCAGGAUGAACGCUAGCUACAGGCUUAACACAUGCAAGUCGAGGGGCAGCAUGAACUUAGCUUGCUAAGUUUGAUGGCGACCGGCGCACGGGUGAGUAACACGUAUCCAACCUUCCGUUUACUCAGGGAUAGCCUUUCGAAAGAAAGAUUAAUACCUGAUAGUAUGGUGAGAUUGCAUGAUAGCACCAUUAAAGAUUUAUUGGUAAACGAUGGGGAUGCGUUCCAUUAGGUAGUAGGCGGGGUAACGGCCCACCUAGCCGACGAUGGAUAGGGGUUCUGAGAGGAAGGUCCCCCACAUUGGAACUGAGACACGGUCCAA
This 335-nucleotide ribosomal RNA is filed under the name uncultured bacterium. Its description in RNAcentral is "bacterial SSU rRNA". It matches the Rfam family "Bacterial small subunit ribosomal RNA", at positions 8 to 334 of the family's 1533-position model. The record is from RNAcentral.